UACGAACCGUCCAAACGUUAUUCGGAUUUAUUGGGCUUAAAGGGUAUGUAGGCGGCCCUGCAAGUCGGGUGUGAAAGCCCUCGGCUCAACCGAGGAACUGCGCCCCAUACUGUCGGACUCGAGGGAGACAGAGGUAAGCGGAACUGAUGGUGGAGCGGUGAAAUGCGUUGAUAUCAUCAGGAACACCGGUGGCGAAAGCGGCUUACUGGGUCUCUUCUGACGCUGAGGUACGAAAGCUAGGGGAGCGAACGGG
RNAcentral lists this unclassified non-coding RNA (253 nucleotides) under uncultured Pirellulaceae bacterium. Its description in RNAcentral is "contains 16S-23S intergenic spacer region". It matches the Rfam family "Bacterial small subunit ribosomal RNA", at positions 524 to 776 of the family's 1533-position model. The record is from RNAcentral. Lineage: Bacteria; Pseudomonadati; Planctomycetota; Planctomycetia; Pirellulales; Pirellulaceae.